GACGAACGCUGGCGGCGUGCUUAACACAUGCAAGUCGAGCGGUAAGGCCCUUUCGGGGGUACACGAGCGGCGAACGGGUGAGUAACACGUGGGUGACCUGCCCUCAGCUCUGGGAUAAGCCUGGGAAACUGGGUCUAAUACUGGAUAUGACUCCACGGUGCAUGUCGUGGGGUGGAAAGCCUUGUGCGGCUGAGGAUGGGCCCGCGGCCUAUCAGCUUGUUGGUGGGGGAUGGCCUACCAAGGCGACGACGGGUAGCCGGCCUGAGAGGGCGACCGGCCACACUGGGACUGAGACACGGCCCAGACUCCUACGGGAGGCAGCAGUGGGGAAUCUUGCGCAAUGGGCGAAAGCCUGACGCAGCGACGCCGCGUGAGGGAUGAC
Molecule: ribosomal RNA, 382 nt
Filed under: uncultured bacterium
Lineage: Bacteria
Description: bacterial SSU rRNA
Rfam family: Bacterial small subunit ribosomal RNA
Source: RNAcentral